UUGACCUCGGAUCAGGUAGGGAUACCCGCUGAACUUAAGCAUAUCAAUAAGCGGAGGAAAAGAAACCAACAGGGAUUACCUCAGUAACGGCGAGUGAAGCGGUAACAGCUCAAAUUUGAAAUCUGGCUCUUUCAGGGUCCGAGUUGUAAUUUGUAGACGAUGCUUUGGGUGUGGUGCCGGUCUAAGUUCCUUGGAACAGGACGUCAUAGAGGGUGAGAAUCCCGUAUGUGAUCGGUCGCCUUCGCCCGUGUAAAGCUCGUUCGACGAGUCGAGUUGUUUGGGAAUGCAGCUCAAAAUGGGUGGUAAAUUUCAUCUAAAGCUAAAUAUUGGCCAGAGACCGAUAGCGCACAAGUAGAGUGAUCGAAAGAUGAAAAGCACUUUGGAAAGAGAGUUAAACAGUACGUGAAAUUGUUGAAAGGGAAGCGCUUGCAACCAGACUUGGGCUGUCGCAAUCAUCCGGGGCUCGCCCCGGUGCACUUGUGGCGGCACAGGCCAGCAUCAGUUUCGGUGGUGGGAUAAAGGCCUUGGGAAUGUAGCUUCUUUCGGGGAGUGUUAUAGCCCUCGGUGCAAUGCCGCCUACCGGGACUGAGGACCGCGCUUCGGCUAGGAUGCUGGCGUAAUGGUUGUAAGCGACCCGUCUUGAAACACGGACCAAGGAGUCUAACAUCUAUGCGAGUGUUUGGGUGUCAAACCCAUACGCGUAAUGAAAGUGAACGGAGGUGAGAACCCGUUAGGGUGCAUCAUCGACCGAUCCUGAUGUCUUCGGAUGGAUUUGAGUAAGAGCAUAGCUGUUGGGACCCGAAAGAUGGUGAACUAUGCCUAAAUAGGGUGAAGCCAGAGGAAACUCUGGUGGAGGCUCGCAGCGGUUCUGACGUGCAAAUCGAUCGUCAAAUUUGGGUAUAGGGGCGAAAGACUAAUCGAAC
RNAcentral lists this ribosomal RNA (923 nucleotides) under Spirosphaera floriformis. RNAcentral describes it as "eukaryotic LSU rRNA". It matches the Rfam family "Eukaryotic large subunit ribosomal RNA", at positions 1 to 940 of the family's 3401-position model. Lineage: Eukaryota; Fungi; Ascomycota; Leotiomycetes; Helotiales. The record is from RNAcentral.